UACGGGGGGGGUAAGCGUUGUUCGGAAUUACUGGGCGUAAAGGGCUCGUAGGCGGCCAACUAAGUCGGACGUGAAAUCCCUCAGCUUAACUGGGGAACUGCGUCCGAUACUGGAUGGCUUGGAUUCGGGAGAGGAAUGCGGAAUUCCAGGUGUAGCGGUGAAAUGCGUAGAUAUCUGGAGGAACACCGGUGGCGAAGGCGGCAUCCUGGACCGACACUGACGCUGAGGAGCGAAAGCCAGGGGAGCAAACGGG
RNAcentral lists this ribosomal RNA (253 nucleotides) under uncultured bacterium. RNAcentral's name for it is "partial 16S ribosomal RNA". It matches the Rfam family "Bacterial small subunit ribosomal RNA", at positions 524 to 776 of the family's 1533-position model. The record is from RNAcentral.